RNAcentral lists this long non-coding RNA (1104 nucleotides) under Panax ginseng (ginseng). RNAcentral's name for it is "long non-coding RNA (PGIN_LNC008612)". Lineage: Eukaryota; Viridiplantae; Streptophyta; Magnoliopsida; Apiales; Araliaceae. The record is from RNAcentral.
UUUUCCCUUUUUCCCUGGAACAAAGUAUCAGAUUCAUGAGUAAGUUUUAUAAUUUCAUUUAGUUAUAACAGUGCUACCCUCUAUAAAAUUCUUGCAUCCAUCACUGCUUGAGGGUUGUUAUUUGAUGGCUGAUUGUUGUUAUUGAUGCUCUUGAUUAUUCAUAGGCGUGCACGGACAGGAUUAAAGGCGAUGAAACUGGGCAUAAGCACUGCACAGGCCAAACCUAAAAUAUCUAUCAGAUCUAGCACGAAGAGAAUCGGAGCACGAAUAUGGUGAAUCCGUUGAGUACCUGAAGAGCUCAGAUCUAUCAGAUCUAUUCGUUUGACGAUGGCCAGAUCUAUCAGAUCUAUGCGGUGGUGGAGGUGGAGGUCGCGGUGGGGGAGGGUAUGGUGGCGGAGAGGGUUAUAACGGUGGCGGUGGUGGUGGAAGGAGUGCCGGUCGUGGUGGCGGCAGGGGAGGUAACUGAAGAGAUGAAGAAGAAGAUAGAGUGCCUUAUUAAUUAAGGGUAAAAUAGUAAUGGAGUCGCCGGUUAACGUCGUUACUCUUCUUCCCCAAGUCCUCUGCCUCAACUUUCCUUAGUUUUAAUAAAUUGUCUUCCACUUAAUUAGCUACCCUCACUGCAUAGCAGAAUCAAAUGGAGCCUGCAUCUUUAUUUUAAUUUUAAUUUUAAUAUUAGAUUUGACCACCAGAAUUUUAAUAUUAGAUCUCCGCCAGAAUAUUAGAUCUUGGUCAGAUCCGGUGAUAGAGAUGAACGGAGCGCAACAGAUCUGGUCGCAGAGCACAGGAUGGGAUAAAGUAUUAAUUAAGGCAAAAUAGUAAAAUUGUGUCUAUUUUUAAUAUGUAUGAAAAUAUAUAAAACGUCAAUAUAUAAUAGGAAGGAGUAUGUCAAAUAUAAUAGGAUGGAAGGAGUAUGUGAUUUAUCUCUUUACGCACUUUCAUAUAGAAAGUAUAGCUUUAAUCAAUGCAAUUAAUAGACCCGUAAUGCUACUUCUUGUAAUGAAAUCUAUCUAUUUGGUAUCGAUCAUAUAUAUAAUCACUAUAAAUAUUUUUAUUUUAACAAAUUAAAUGAAAGUAAACACUUCAUUUUGAUAUCAUGUCACGACC